Molecule: ribosomal RNA, 301 nt
Filed under: uncultured bacterium
Lineage: Bacteria
Description: partial 16S ribosomal RNA
Rfam family: Bacterial small subunit ribosomal RNA
Source: RNAcentral
CAGCAGCCGCGGUAAAACGGAGGGUGCAAGCGUUAAUCGGAAUUACUGGGCGUAAAGCGCACGCAGGCGGUCUGACAAGUCAGAUGUGAAAUCCCCGGGCUUAACCUGGGAACUGCAUUUGAAACUGUCAGGCUGGAGUCUUGUAGAGGGGGGUGGAAUUCCAGGUGUAGCGGUGAAAUGCGUAGAGAUCUGGAGGAAUACCGGUGGCGAAGGCGGCCCCCUGGACAAAGACUGACGCUCAGGUGCGAAAGCGUGGGGAGCAAGCAGGAUUAGAUACCCCAGUAGUCCCUGUCUCUUAUAC